RNAcentral lists this ribosomal RNA (484 nucleotides) under uncultured bacterium. Its description in RNAcentral is "partial 16S ribosomal RNA". It matches the Rfam family "Bacterial small subunit ribosomal RNA", at positions 30 to 507 of the family's 1533-position model. The record is from RNAcentral.
AUUGAACGCUGGCGGCAGGCCUAUCACAUGCAAGUCGAGCGGAUGAAGGGAGCUUGCUCCUGGAUUCAGCGGCGGACGGGUGAGUAAUGCCUAGGAAUCUGCCUGGUAGUGGGGGAUAACGUCCGGAAACGGGCGCUAAUACCGCAUACGUCCUGAGGGAAAAAGUGGGGGAUCUUCGGACCUCACGCUAUCAGAUGAGCCUAGGUCGGAUUAGCUAGUUGGUGGGGUAAAGGCCUACCAAGGCGACGAUCCGUAACUGGUCUGAGAGGAUGAUCAGUCACACUGGAACUGAGACACGGUCCAGACUCCUACGGGAGGCAGCAGUGGGGAAUAUUGGACAAUGGGCGAAAGCCUGAUCCAGCCAUGCCGCGUGUGUGAAGAAGGUCUUCGGAUUGUAAAGCACUUUAAGUUGGGAGGAAGGGCAGUAAGUUAAUACCUUGCUGUUUUGACGUUACCAACAGAAUAAGCACCGACUAACUUCGUG